UAUGGAAUCUUCGGCAAUGGACGAAAGUCUGACCGAGCAACGCCGCGUGAGUGAAGAAGGUUUUCGGAUCGUAAAACUCUGUUGUUAGAGAAGAACAAGGACGUUAGUAACUGAACGUCCCCUGACGGUAUCUAACCAGAAAGCCACGGCUAACUACGUGCCAGCAGCCGCGGUAAUACGUAGGUGGCAAGCGUUGUCCGGAUUUAUUGGGCGUAAAGCGAGCGCAGGCGGUUUCUUAAGUCUGAUGUGAAAGCCCCCGGCUCAACCGGGGAGGGUCAUUGGAAACUGGGAGACUUGAGUGCAGAAGAGGAGAGUGGAAUUCCGUGUGUAGCGGUGAAAUGCGUAGAUAUAUGGAGGAACACCAGUGGCGAAGGCGGCUCUCUGGUCUGUAACUGACGCUGAGGCUCGAAAGCGUGGGGAGCAAACAGG
RNAcentral lists this ribosomal RNA (429 nucleotides) under Gemmatimonadota bacterium. Its description in RNAcentral is "Gemmatimonadetes bacterium partial 16S ribosomal RNA". It matches the Rfam family "Bacterial small subunit ribosomal RNA", at positions 355 to 776 of the family's 1533-position model. The record is from RNAcentral. Lineage: Bacteria; Pseudomonadati; Gemmatimonadota.